Molecule: ribosomal RNA, 323 nt
Filed under: uncultured eukaryote
Lineage: Eukaryota
Description: partial 18S ribosomal RNA
Rfam family: Eukaryotic small subunit ribosomal RNA
Source: RNAcentral
CCCUUAGAUGUUCUGGGCCGCACGCGCGCUACAAUGGUCUUCGCAAACGGAUGCAUUCUCGAAGGAGAAUGCCAAUCUUGGAAUCUAUGCCUUGGUCGGGACAGUUGCUUGCAAUUUUUCGACUCGAACCAGGAAUUCCUUGUAAUCGUGAUUCAUCACAUCACGAUGAAUACGUCCCUGCCCUUUGUACACACCGCCCGUCGCUGCCCGGAACUGAGCCGUUUCGAGAAGACUGAGGAUUGCUGACUUGAGGCCUUCACGGGCUUCUAGUCGGUGAAAAUCAAUUUAAUCGCAGCGGCUUGAACCGGGCAAAAGUCGUAACA